Long non-coding RNA from Mangifera indica (mango), 360 nucleotides. RefSeq lists it as uncharacterized. The record is from RefSeq and is a predicted model, not a curated record. Lineage: Eukaryota; Viridiplantae; Streptophyta; Magnoliopsida; Sapindales; Anacardiaceae. The transcript is spliced from 2 exons.
CCGAUCAGGUUACUCUGGGUUGACAUCUUGUGGCUUGUCUGUGCAACCGCCAUACAUACGGUUCUCAUGUUUAUAAGAGUGAAAACAAGAUCUAUUGUUUUGUAUAUGGAAACGAUGACCAGUUGGCUCUUUGGCUAGUUGGUGAGCGAGGGAGUUUUAGUUUUGAAUGGAAGUUGGAUGCGGUACCGAAGAAACGGUCAUUUAAGUGAGAGUCUAGUACAUCUCGACCCCCGAGGUUUUUAAAAUCACCACCUUCCCCCAGGCAGCAAAACUAACAAUUUACCCCUUCUUAUCUUUAAUAUGUUAUUCCUAUGAAUUAAUUAAUAUAUGAGUAAUAUUAUAUGUAUUUAAUUUUAAGUA